AAGUCGUAACAAGGUUUCCGUAGGUGAACCUGCGGAAGGAUCAUUAUCACGUAUCCACGUAUAAACCAUUGUGAACCGUUUUCACCUCUGCAAUAUGGGAAAGAGUCGAGCGUUGCGAUGCUUUGAGUGACGAACAAAUGUUACGAGCUCAACACCUCGUAAGGCUUUAUGAUUGUUUGAAGAAAAAACAUUUCUGACAGAGCUCGUAACAGCUUCAAACAAGAAGGACCCAGUACCAGCUUGCAGAGCGUAUUUCACUAAUUAACUAACCAUUUUAACCAAUCUUUAUAACUUCAUGAACUAACUUUAUUUCAUACUCUUCGGAGAUGAAAUUCAUUACGAAACAAAGAACAACUCUUAGCAACGGAUAUCUUGGUUCUC
This 381-nucleotide unclassified non-coding RNA is filed under the name fungal sp. RNAcentral describes it as "partial internal transcribed spacer region". The stretch from base 1 to 46 matches the Rfam family "Eukaryotic small subunit ribosomal RNA", at positions 1786 to 1831 of the family's 1831-position model. The record is from RNAcentral. Lineage: Eukaryota; Fungi.